CUACGGUGAAUACGUUCCCGGACCUUGCACACACCGCCCGUCAAGCCAUGGAAGCCGGGUGUACCUAAAGUCGGUAACCGUAAGGAGCCGCCCAGGGUAAAAACUGGUGACUGGGGCU
RNAcentral lists this ribosomal RNA (118 nucleotides) under uncultured bacterium. RNAcentral's name for it is "partial 16S ribosomal RNA". It matches the Rfam family "Bacterial small subunit ribosomal RNA", at positions 1357 to 1482 of the family's 1533-position model. The record is from RNAcentral.